CAAUAGCGUAUAUUAAAGUUGUUGCAGUUAGAACACUCGUAGUCGGAUUUCGGGGCGGGGCGACCGGUCUGCCGAUGGGUAUGCACUGGUCGGCGCGUCCUUCCUUCCGGAGACCGUUCCUACUCUUAACUGAGCGGGGGCGGGAGACGGAUCGUUUACUUUGAAAAAAUCAGAGUGUUUCAAGCAGGCAGCUCGCUCUUGCAUGGAUUAGCAUGGGAUAAUGAAAUAGGACUUUGGUGCUAUUUUGUUGGUUUCGACCACCGAAGUAAUGAUUAAAAGGGACAGUCAGGGGCACUCGUAUUCCGCCGAGAGAGGUGAAAUUCUCAGACCAGCGGAAGACGAACCACUGCGAAAGCAUUUGCCAGGGAUGUUUUCACUGA
RNAcentral lists this ribosomal RNA (380 nucleotides) under uncultured eukaryote. RNAcentral's name for it is "partial 18S ribosomal RNA". It matches the Rfam family "Eukaryotic small subunit ribosomal RNA", at positions 592 to 976 of the family's 1831-position model. The record is from RNAcentral.